GACGAACGCUGGCGGCGUGCUCAACACAUGCAAGUCGAACGGAGAGGCGAACGGGUGAGUAACACGUUGGUGAUACGCGUUGCACUUCGGGAUAAGCUGGGGAAACUGGGCCUAAUACUGGAUAGUGCAAGAUGAGGUCGAGGCCUAGCAGCUUGUUGGUGGGGUAAUGGACUACCAAGGCGUCGACGGGUAGCCGGCCUGAGAGGCUGUACGGCCACAUUGGGACUGAGGUACUGCCCAGACCCCUGCCGGUGACAUCCGUUGGGACUAUUGCCCAAUGGGCGGCCGGCUUCUGCCGCGACUCCGCGUGGGAGAUGGAGGCCUUCUGGUUGUAAACUCCUUUCGACAGUGCCGCGGUACCUGUAUAAGAAGCACCGGCUAACUACGUGCCAGCCGCCGCGGUAAUUC
Molecule: ribosomal RNA, 408 nt
Filed under: uncultured bacterium
Lineage: Bacteria
Description: partial 16S ribosomal RNA
Rfam family: Bacterial small subunit ribosomal RNA
Source: RNAcentral